This 470-nucleotide ribosomal RNA is filed under the name uncultured bacterium. RNAcentral's name for it is "partial 16S ribosomal RNA". It matches the Rfam family "Bacterial small subunit ribosomal RNA", at positions 28 to 523 of the family's 1533-position model. The record is from RNAcentral.
GACGAACGCUGGCGGCGUGCCUAACACAUGCAAGUCGAGCGAGGAACUUCGGUUCCUAGCGGCGGACGGGUGAGUAACACGUGGGCAACCUGCCUUGUAGAGGGGGAUAGCCUUCCGAAAGGAAGAUUAAUACCGCAUAACAUCACGAAAUCGCAUGGUUUUGUGAUCAAAGGAGCAAUCCGCUACAAGAUGGGCCCGCGGCGCAUUAGCUAGUUGGUGAGGUAACGGCUCACCAAGGCGACGAUGCGUAGCCGACCUGAGAGGGUGAUCGGCCACAUUGGAACUGAGGAACGGUCCAGACUCCUACGGGAGGCAGCAGUGGGGAAUAUUGCACAAUGGGGGAAACCCUGAUGCAGCAACGCCGCGUGAGUGAUGAAGGCCUUCGGGUUGUAAAGCUCUGUCUUCAGGGACGAUAAUGACGGUACCUGAGGAGGAAGCCACGGCUAACUACGUGCCAGCCGCCGCCGUAA